CAGGGGGAAGCCUGAGCAGCACGCCGCGGGUGUGAUGAAGGCCUUCGGGGCGUAAAGUCCUUUCAUUUGGGAAGAACAUGGUGCGGGUUUAUAUACAAUAAGACACCGUGACAUCUCCGUGCCAAGAACCGCCGGAUUACGACGUGCCAGCAGCCGCGGUAAUACGAA
This 168-nucleotide ribosomal RNA is filed under the name uncultured Stenotrophomonas sp. Its description in RNAcentral is "partial 16S ribosomal RNA". It matches the Rfam family "Bacterial small subunit ribosomal RNA", at positions 372 to 529 of the family's 1533-position model. Lineage: Bacteria; Pseudomonadati; Pseudomonadota; Gammaproteobacteria; Lysobacterales; Lysobacteraceae. The record is from RNAcentral.